CCCGCUGAACUUAAGCAUAUCAAUAAGCGGAGGAAAAGAAACUAACAAGGAUUCCCUUAGUAACUGCGAGUGAAGAGGGAAAAGCUCAAAUUUAAAAUCUGGCAGUGUUUCGCUGUCCGAGUUGUAACCUAGAGAAGUGUAACCUGUGCUGGACCGUGUACAAGUCUCCUGGAAUGGAGCAUCACAGAGGGUGAGAACCCCGUCUUUGACAUGGACUGCCAGUGCAUUGUGGUUGUGCUCUCAACGAGUCGAGUUGUUUGGGAAUGCAGCUCUAAAUGGGUGGUAAAUUCCAUCUAAAGCUAAAUAUUGGCGAGAGACCGAUAGCGAACAAGUACCGUGAGGGAAAGAUGAAAAGAACUUUGGAAAGAGAGUUAAACAGUAUGUGAAAUUGUUGAAAGGGAAACGUUUGAAGUCAGUCAUGUUGGCUGGGGAUCAGCCUGACAUUUAUGUUGGGUGUACUUCCUGGUUGACGGGCCAACAUCAGUUUUGACUGCCAGAAAAAGGCCAAGGGAAUGUGGCACCUUUGGGUGUGUUAUAGCUCUUGGUCGUAUGUGGUGGUUGGGACUGAGGAAAGCAGUGCGCUGAAAGGCAGGGUUUCGACCACAUUCGCACUGAGGAUGUUGGCAUAAUGGCUUUAAGCGACCCGUCUUGAAACAC
RNAcentral lists this ribosomal RNA (657 nucleotides) under uncultured fungus. RNAcentral describes it as "eukaryotic LSU rRNA". It matches the Rfam family "Eukaryotic large subunit ribosomal RNA", at positions 24 to 662 of the family's 3401-position model. The record is from RNAcentral. Lineage: Eukaryota; Fungi.